UAGCUCAGUCAGUUGAGCGUAGCGCUAACAACGCUAAAGUCAUGGGUUUGAUUCCCGU
This 58-nucleotide transfer RNA is filed under the name Apaloderma vittatum (bar-tailed trogon). It matches the Rfam family "tRNA", at positions 8 to 63 of the family's 71-position model. Rfam says of the family: Transfer RNA (tRNA) molecules are approximately 80 nucleotides in length. Their secondary structure includes four short double-helical elements and three loops (D, anti-codon, and T loops). The record is from Rfam by way of RNAcentral. Lineage: Eukaryota; Metazoa; Chordata; Aves; Trogoniformes; Trogonidae.